GACGAACCGUGCAAACGUUAUUCGGAAUCACUGGGCAUAAAGGGCGCGUAGGCGGCUCUAAAAGUCAGGGGUGAAAUCCGGCAGCUUAACUGUCGCAGUGCCUUUGAUACUGUAGAGCUCGAGGGAGGUAGGGGUCUGUGGAACUUCCGGUGGAGCGGUGAAAUGCGUUGAUAUCGGAAGGAACGCCGGUGGCGAAAGCGACGGACUGGAUCUCUUCUGACGCUGAGGCACGAAAGCUAGGGUAGCGAACGGG
Molecule: ribosomal RNA, 253 nt
Filed under: uncultured bacterium
Lineage: Bacteria
Description: partial 16S ribosomal RNA
Rfam family: Bacterial small subunit ribosomal RNA
Source: RNAcentral